CGUAGGGUGCAAGCGUUAAUCGGAAUUACUGGGCGUAAAGCGUGCGCAGGCGGCUUUGCAAGACAGAUGUGAAAUCCUCGGGCUCAACCUGGGAACUGCAUUUGUGACUGCAUGGCUGGAGUACGGUAGAGGGGGAUGGAAUUCCGCGUGUAGCAGUGAAAUGCGUAGAUAUGCGGAGGAACACCGAUGGCGAAGGCAAUUCCCUGGACCUGUACUGACGCUCAUGCACGAAAGCGUGGGGAGCAAACAGGAUUAGAUACCCUGGUAGUCCACGCCCUAAACGAUGUCAACUGGUUGUUGGACGGCUUGCUGUUCAGUAACGAAGCUAACGCGUGAAGUUGACCGCCUGGGGAGUACGGCCGCAAGGUUG
This 370-nucleotide ribosomal RNA is filed under the name uncultured organism. Its description in RNAcentral is "bacterial SSU rRNA". It matches the Rfam family "Bacterial small subunit ribosomal RNA", at positions 526 to 896 of the family's 1533-position model. The record is from RNAcentral.